CCUAAACAACGGCAAGUGUUUCAAAAGGAUAAAUCAUGUUUUGGACAAGCCAAAAGCAAUGAGUGUAAAAACAAUAUAAAAUUAGUGUGCGUUUUAAUAAAUGUUCGCUUUUCUUAUAUAACUACAAAAUCGUAUUAAAGUAUAAGUUAAUUUAGUUCAUCACAUAAAUAAUGAUUAAAAGGCGUUGAUAUGCAGCGUAUAUAACUCGUUGGCGAUCGAAUGUGAAUGUGAAUCAUUAGAAUAAUUAGCAAGUGUGAGCAGCUGCUGCCUGGGGAGUGAAAAUGUGCAAAACAACGAUGGGGACCCCCUCCUAUAAAUAAUAUGUGAUAUACGCUAACAAUCAUUGUCAGUAAGUGGUAAAUUCUUUCAUAUUAUCGGACAUUUAUUUGUGUGCAAACAGUGUCUGCAUGAGAAAGAAGUGCUUCAACAAAGUGCUAAAGAAUAUCGUGGAAAACAAGGACUUUAUUGACCCCAAACAUCAUUAAGAAUUUUAGUAAUGGAAAAUUAUUCAAAAAAACAGAAAAAACAUUGUCAAUAAGUCUAUAUUCAAACUGGCUCUUUAGAUAUGUACCAAUAAAAUAGAAUCUGUGAGCUCCUUGUCGUACUGUAAAGAUACGUAGAAAAAGAAAAAGAGAGAAAGAGAGAGAGGAAAAGAAAACGAGAGACACAUUCAAUAACAAAAUCAUCUCACAAUACCAUGAAAUCGCAAAAACAAAAUGGACAAUCAUUAUGCACUUUGUACAUAGGACCUUAUAAAGCUUAUGUAUUACGUAUAAUUUUGACGAAACUUCAGUUGGGUGCAAAUUUUGAGCGAUUAAUUUUUUUUUUCAUUUUAUUUAUUUAAUUUUUUUUUAGGAAAAUAGCGCAAUCUACAAGCUUAUGAUUAUACCUAUAAUUUCAGAGUCAGGUCUGUUCUCAUACACAAUUUAGAAUAGAUUUUUUGUCUCCGAUUAUCAUUUUUAACAUGAUUUUACGGAUUGAAUCUGCUUCAAUUAUUACAAAAUUUGAGAAUAAUUUGCAAAAGCUUAGCGAAAGCCGGAACAGAUCUGAAUGUAUAAAAAAUAAUAAUAUAAUUGAAUUAUAAAACUAUGGAACGUUGAAAGCUUUUGUAGAAGCCACGUCUUAUGAUGUGGGCUGUAACUAUAAAUUCUCUCUAGUCUUAUUACAAUUCUACUACUUACCGUUGUUCUUCAGAGCGGCAUCUUUCUCGGCCGUGAAAAUAUUUGAGGCCAUGCGAUUCUUCAUGGUUCGUGGAGUUUGAGGCAU
Molecule: long non-coding RNA, 1266 nt
Organism: Drosophila nasuta
Lineage: Eukaryota; Metazoa; Arthropoda; Insecta; Diptera; Drosophilidae
Exons: 2
Source: RefSeq, a predicted model, not a curated record